GACGUUCCCUUGCGCAACAUAAUGAUAAGUGUGGCAUGCACUGGAAAUUUCAUAGCCUUGUGAUUUACAACGGAAUGCAUUGUGAUCACGUGGACAUCGCGACCAUCAUCGGCUAGGGUGAGAAAAAUAAAAUAAAUGGCAACAUGGUGAGCCACUAUGUUAAAAUAGAGUAUGCUCAUACAUCAGGAUAUUGAGUCAUAUUUAUUUGGUGAGCCAUAAUAUUUUGUCUCCCGUUGCAACGCACGGGCAUAUUUGCUAGUCUUACCAAAGUCACUAAACUACAACUCGCAAACGGCAGUCUAACAGGGGAGAUUCCACCAGAAUUAGGUCUUAUGCAGGAACUCUCUUAUCUUGAUCUUCAAUACAACCAAUUGACUGGUAAAUUUCCAGCUUCGCUCGGUAACUUGUCCAAAUUGUCUUACCUAAAUUUCCAAGUGAAUCACUUGUCCGGUCAAGUACCAUCAAUGCUUGGAACAAAUACAGUUUUGAAUAUUCUUGCUUUGGGAGACAACAAUUUAGAGGGGAAUCUAGAUUUCUUGUCAGCUCUUUCCAAGUGCAGACAACUCCAAUUCCUUGAUUUCGAAAAAAAUCGUUUUACAGGCACCAUCCCUGGCUAUGUGGGAAACUUCUCUUCACAUUUAAACUAUUUUGGUGCAGGUGCCAACCAGUUGAUGCCUUCCAGUAGCAAUUUCAAAUAUAAGCAACCUUCUAUGAAUUGAUUUUCGGGAUAACCUAUUCACCGAGCCAAAUCCAGAAUCUAUCACUACGCUGGAAAAUCUUGCAUGGCUUGAUCUCUCCUGGAAUAACAUGCCAGGCCCUAUCCCUACACAAAUGGGUAUGCUUCGAAGUCUAGAACGAUUGUUUCUCCAAGCCAACAAAUUAUCAGGCUCCAUACCAAGAAACUUUGGUAAUCUUAGCUGGUUAGAAAGCUUAGACUUGUCAUAUAACCAGUUAAGCUCAACGAUACCGACGAGUUUCUUCCACCUGGAUAAACUUAUCACACUUGAUCUUUCACACAAUUCCUUUACUGGUGAAGUACCGGUAGAUGUUACUGGUCUAAGACAAACCUAUCAAACUUUGGUAAUCUUAGCUGGUUAGAAAGCUUAGACUUGUCAUAUAACCAGUUAAGCUCAACGAUACCAACGAGUUUCUUCCACCUGGAUAAACUUAUCACACUUGAUCUUUCACACAAUUCCUUUACUGGUGAAGUACCGGUAGAUGUUACUGGUCUAAGACAAACCUAUCAAAUAGACAUAUCUUCUAACUUGUUGAUAGGAAGCAUACCAAAAACAUUUGGACAACUUAGUAUGCUUACCUACCUAAAUCUAUCACAUAACUCUUUCAAAGGCUCAAUUCCAGUUCAACUCGAAAAAGUAAAAAGCCUAGCAUCAUUGGACCUCUCGUUUAACAAUCUCUCUGGUACCAUUCCAAUGUUCCUUGCUAACUUGACGUACUUGAAUACCUUGAACCUAUCAUUCAAUAGGCUAGAAGGACAAAUACCCGAGGGAGGUGUUUUCUCAAACCUCACAUUGAAAUCUUUGGUUGGGAACCCUGGACUAUGCGGCGCUCCGCGGCUAAGAUUUCCACCAUGCCUUGAUAGAAAUCGUUCAAGUAAAAGCCACUUGCUUCCAUUUCUACUGCCAACCCUCAUAUUAGCUUUUGGCGCCAUUGCCAUUUACGUAUACCUAUGGUUCAGAAAGAAACUUAAGAAGGGAAAGGACAAUGUUUCUGUUGAUCCAACUGAUGCCAUAGGCCAUCAGAUAGUCUCCUAUCAUGAGCUUGUUCGUGUCACCAAUAAUUUCCAUGAUGAAAACAUCUUGGGAUCCGAAAGCUUUGGAAAAGUCUUUAAGGGCCAACUGAGCAGUGGUUUGGUGGUUGCGAUAAAAGUUCUUGACAUGCAACUAGAGCAGGCCAUCCAAAGCUUUGAUGCGGAGUGUCGAGUGCUUCGUAUGGCACGACACCGCAACCUGAUAAGGAUACUUAACACAUGUUCCAACCUUGACUUCAGAGCCCUGGUGCUUCAAUACAUGCCAAAUGGUAGCUUAGAGAUGCUCCUUCAUGGAUCACAAAGCACAACAACGCGCUUGGGAUUCAUUGAGAGGCUGGGCAUCAUGCUUGAUGUUUCGAUGGCAAUGUCUUAUCUACACCAUGAGCACUAUGAGCUGAUCUUGCAUCGUGACUUGAAGCCUAGCAAUGUGUUGUUUGACGAGGACAUGACGGCGCAUGUGGCAGACUUUGGCAUUGCAAAGUUGGUUCUAGAUGACAACUCCAUGAUAAGUGCGAGCAUGCCUAGAACAAUUGGGUACAUGGCACCAGAGUAUGGGUCACUUGGAAAAGCAUCGCGGAAGAGCGACGUCUUCAGCUAUGGGAUCAUGCUCCUUGAACUCUUCACUGGAAAGCGACCCACUGCCACUAUGUUUGGCGCACAAUUAACGCUCAGGCGGUGGGUUCAUGAGGCAUAUCCUGCAGAGCUUGUCAAGGUCGUCGAUGGACAGCUAUUACAUGGCUCCUCUCUUUCUAGCUGCAUCUUGGACGAUGGCUUUCUUGCUUCAAUAUUUGAGUUGGGUUUGAUUUGUUCUAGCGACUCUCCAGACCAGCGAAUGACGAUGCACGAUGUGGUCGUGACGCUGAAGAAGGUCAAAGCUGAGUACACUAAACAGACAACAAAAACAUGACGUGGCACAACGGAAUUAUCGUUCUCCCUUGUUGCUUGCUAUAACUAUAUACAGAUGUAUCUGUUCUCAUUUUGUCACUUACUGCAGCACAUGCCUUUUGGGUCGUAUUAUACACUUGACACAUAUAGCUAGUUCGAGUGCAUAUGUAUACAGGAUGAAUUCUACCUGUAUAAGUAUAGCUAAUUCGACAUACAUAAAUAUACAUGAUGUCUUAAUUCCAUAAUAAAU
RNAcentral lists this ribosomal RNA (2903 nucleotides) under Triticum aestivum (bread wheat). RNAcentral's name for it is "partial small subunit ribosomal RNA". The record is from RNAcentral. Lineage: Eukaryota; Viridiplantae; Streptophyta; Magnoliopsida; Poales; Poaceae.